UUGAGUUGAUUCAAGACAUCAAGCAGCCACAGCAGCACAACUAAGGAUGCUCAUAAAAGAGGACUUCAGAAAUUGGCAAGAGGAAGGGUUUUCAGGUCUUUGGACACAGAUUGAACUAUACCAUUCUACCAGCACUUUUGGUUCUCCAGCUUGAAGAUGCUAGAUCAUGGAACUUCUCAGCCUCCAUAAUCAGCUCUCCAAGUUUUCUGCAAUGGCAGAGACCUGAUAUGUCCACGUGGUUCUUGUAAGAAUUAAAGAAGAUUCUAAGUACUUAACACAUGUAGUUAUUAUUUUACUAUUAAAACAUUG
Chinchilla lanigera (long-tailed chinchilla) is the source of this 309-nucleotide long non-coding RNA. RefSeq lists it as uncharacterized. The transcript is spliced from 3 exons. Lineage: Eukaryota; Metazoa; Chordata; Mammalia; Rodentia; Chinchillidae. The record is from RefSeq and is a predicted model, not a curated record.